AAAGAUGGCUUCGGCUAUCACUUUUGGAUGGUCCCGCGGCGUAUUAGCUAGAUGGUGGGGUAACGGCUCACCAUGGCAAUGAUACGUAGCCGACCUGAGAGGGUAAUCGGCCACAUUGGGACUGAGACACGGCCCAAACUCCUACGGGAGGCAGCAGUAGGGAAUCUUCCACAAUGGACGAAAGUCUGAUGGAGCAACGCCGCGUGAGUGAAGAAGGGUUUCGGCUCGUAAAACUCUGUUGUUAAAGAAGAACAUAUCUGAGAGUAACUGUUCAGGUAUUGACGGUAUUUAACCAGAAAGCCACGGCUAACUACGUGCCAGCAGCCGCGGUAAUACGUAGGUGGCAAGCGUUGUCCGGAUUUAUUGGGCGUAAAGCGAGCGCAGGCGGUUUUUUAAGUCUGAUGUGAAAGCCUUCGGCUCAACCGAAGAAGUGCAUCGGAAACUGGGAAACUUGAGUGCAGAAGAGGACAGUGGAACUCCAUGUGUAGCGGUGAAAUGCGUAGAUAUAUGGAAGAACACCAGUGGCGAAGGCGGCUGUCUGGUCUGUAACUGACGCUGAGGCUCGAAAGUAUGGGUAGCAAACAGGAUUAGAUACCCUGGUAGUCCAUACCGUAAACGAUGAAUGCUAAGUGUUGGAGGGUUUCCGCCCUUCAGUGCUGCAGCUAACGCAUUAAGCAUUCCGCCUGGGGAGUACGGCCGCAAGGCUGAAACUCAAAGGAAUUGACGGGGGCCCGCACAAGCGGUGGAGCAUGUGGUUUAAUUCGAAGCUACGCGAAGAACCUUACCAGGUCUUGACAUACUAUGCAAAUCUAAGAGAUUAGACGUUCCCUUCGGGGACAUGGAUACAGGUGGUGCAUGGUUGUCGUCAGCUCGUGUCGUGAGAUGUUGGGUUAAGUCCCGCAACGAGCGCAACCCUUAUUAUCAGUUGCCAGCAUUAAGUUGGGCACUCUGGUGAGACUGCCGGUGACAAACCGGAGGAAGGUGGGGAUGACGUCAAAUCAUCAUGCCCCUUAUGACCUGGGCUACACACGUGCUACAAUGGAUGGUACAACGAGUUGCGAACUCGCGAGAGUAAGCUAAUCUCUUAAAGCCAUUCUCAGUUCGGAUUGUAGGCUGCAACUCGCCUACAUGAAGUCGGAAUCGCUAGUAAUCGCGGAUCAGCAUGCCGCGGUGAAUACGUUCCCGGGCCUUGUACACACCGCCCGUCACACCAUGAGAGUUUGUAACACCCAAA
Molecule: ribosomal RNA, 1234 nt
Filed under: Lactiplantibacillus plantarum subsp. plantarum
Lineage: Bacteria; Bacillati; Bacillota; Bacilli; Lactobacillales; Lactobacillaceae
Description: bacterial SSU rRNA
Rfam family: Bacterial small subunit ribosomal RNA
Source: RNAcentral